GGCACUUUGGCCGAGUGGUCUAAGGCGCCGUGUUCAGGUGGUCCUUCACGCAUUGUGAUAGCAUCUAUUCGCGGUCUAGUAAUAGGCGAGGGUUCGAAUCCCUCAGGUGUCA
Claviceps citrina is the source of this 112-nucleotide non-coding RNA. Lineage: Eukaryota; Fungi; Ascomycota; Sordariomycetes; Hypocreales; Clavicipitaceae. The record is from the annotation of a GenBank genome assembly.